GCGGGCGUGGCGAAAUGGUAGACGCAAGGGACUUAAAAUCCCUCGGGCUUUAGCCCGUGCCGGUUCGAGUCCGGCCGCCCGCACCA
Molecule: transfer RNA, 86 nt
Filed under: Rhodospirillaceae bacterium
Lineage: Bacteria; Pseudomonadati; Pseudomonadota; Alphaproteobacteria; Rhodospirillales; Rhodospirillaceae
Also listed under: 2 other names
Description: tRNA-Leu
Rfam family: tRNA
About the family: Transfer RNA (tRNA) molecules are approximately 80 nucleotides in length. Their secondary structure includes four short double-helical elements and three loops (D, anti-codon, and T loops). Further hydrogen bonds mediate the characteristic L-shaped molecular structure. tRNAs have two regions of fundamental functional importance: the anti-codon, which is responsible for specific mRNA codon recognition, and the 3' end, to which the tRNAs corresponding amino acid is attached (by aminoacyl-tRNA synthetases). tRNAs cope with the degeneracy of the genetic code in two manners: having more than one tRNA (with a specific anti-codon) for a particular amino acid; and 'wobble' base-pairing, i.e. permitting non-standard base-pairing at the 3rd anti-codon position.
Source: RNAcentral